UACGGAAGGCAGCAGUGGGGAAUAUUGCACAAUGGGCGAAAGCCUGAUGCAGCUAUGCCGCGUGUAUGAAGAAGGCCUUAGGGUUGUAAAGUACUUUCAUCGGGGAGGAAAAAACAAAACUAAUAAUUUUAUUUCUUGACGUUACCCGAAAAAGAAGCACCGGCUAACUCCGUGCCAGCAGCCGCGGUAAUACGGAGGGUGCUAGCGUUAAUCAGAAUUACUGGGCGUAAAGAGCACGUAGGUGGUUUUUUUAAGUCAGAUGUGAAAUCCCUGGGCUUUAACCUAGGAACUGCAUUUGAAACUGAAAUACUAGAGUAUCGUAGAGGGAGGUAGAAUUCUAGGUGUAGCGGUGAAAUGCGUAGAUAUCUGGAGGAAUACCUGUGGCGAAAGCGGCCUCCUAAACGAAUACUGACACUGAGGGUGCGAAAGCGGUGGGGA
Molecule: ribosomal RNA, 438 nt
Filed under: uncultured bacterium
Lineage: Bacteria
Description: bacterial SSU rRNA
Rfam family: Bacterial small subunit ribosomal RNA
Source: RNAcentral